UCCCGGAAUAUGGGCCCGGCCCUGGGAUC
RNAcentral lists this small RNA (29 nucleotides) under Bombyx mori (domestic silkworm). RNAcentral describes it as "ovarian small RNA-27308". The record is from RNAcentral. Lineage: Eukaryota; Metazoa; Arthropoda; Insecta; Lepidoptera; Bombycidae.